CCUACGGGUGGCAGCAGUGAGGAAUAUUGGUCAAUGGGCGCAAGCCUGAACCAGCCAAGUCGCGUGAGGGAAGACGGCCCUACGGGUUGUAAACCUCUUUUGCCGGGGAGCAAGCCUGAGCACGUGUGCCCAGGCGGAGAGUACCCGGAGAAAAAGCACCGGCUAACCCCGGGCCAGCAGCCGCGGUAAUACGGAGGAUGCGAGCUUUAUCCGGAUUUUUUGGGUUUAAAGGGGGCGCAGGCGGCCUGUUAAGCCGGCGGUAAAAAUGCAGGGCUCAACCCUGCCGCGCCGUCGAAACUGGGUGUCUUGAGUGGGCGAGAAGUAUGCGGAAUGCGUGGUGUAGCGGUGAAAUGCAUAGAUAUCACGCAGAACGCCGAUUGCGAAGGCAGCAUACCGGCGCCCAACUGACGCUGAGGCACGAAAGCGUGGGGAUCGAACAGGAUUAGAUACCCGAGUAGUC
Molecule: ribosomal RNA, 460 nt
Filed under: uncultured bacterium
Lineage: Bacteria
Description: partial 16S ribosomal RNA
Rfam family: Bacterial small subunit ribosomal RNA
Source: RNAcentral